RNAcentral lists this ribosomal RNA (358 nucleotides) under uncultured Verrucomicrobium sp. RNAcentral's name for it is "bacterial SSU rRNA". It matches the Rfam family "Bacterial small subunit ribosomal RNA", at positions 413 to 762 of the family's 1533-position model. Lineage: Bacteria; Pseudomonadati; Verrucomicrobiota; Verrucomicrobiia; Verrucomicrobiales; Verrucomicrobiaceae. The record is from RNAcentral.
GGUCUUCGGAUUGUAAACUCCUGUCAUCUAGGAGCAAGGCAUGGUGGUGAAUAGCCAACAUGAUUGAUAGUACUAGAAGAGGAAGGGACGGCUAACUUCGUGCCAGCAGCCGCGGUAAUACGAAGGUCCCGAGCGUUAUUCGGAAUCACUGGGCGUAAAGGGAGCGUAGGCGGCGUGGAAAGUCAGAUGUGAAAUCCCAGAGCUCAACUCUGGAACUGCAUCCGAUACUACCAUGCUAGAGUAUUGGAGGGGUAACUUGGAAUUCUCGGUGUAGCAGUGAAAUGCGUAGAUAUCGAGAGGAAUACCAAAGGCGAAGGCAGGUUUCUUGNCAGUUACUGACACUGAGGCACGAAGGCCA